AAUGGUGUCUGCACAGGCUUUUCUGAAUCUUCAGCAAGGAAUCUUUUCCUUCUGUUCUGCAGGUACCAGUGACAGCCAGCAGCAGGCCUGUUGUGAGAAGCUGCUACCUGAAUCUCUCUGCACAAACAGCAUCCUGAGGAGGAAGGCUCAAAACCCCCACGAGAUGCACAGAUACCUCCAAGGAACGUCUCCAGAGGUGGCAAUCCAUCAGGGAGCCAUGCUGACAUAGCUCUCAGCUACCUUCUCCAAUAAAAAAAGGAAUGAAUUUCCAAAGCACUUGAAAGAUUGCUCUUUGCGUGGAAGAAGAACUGAAUUUAAACACAGCAGGAUGAAUGCAGCUGUGUCACUGAUACUGUUAAUCCUGUGUGUAUUUUUCCC
This is a non-coding RNA of Chiloscyllium plagiosum (whitespotted bambooshark), 378 nucleotides long. NCBI's taxonomy places the organism in Eukaryota, Metazoa, Chordata, Chondrichthyes, Orectolobiformes, Hemiscylliidae. The record is from RefSeq and is a predicted model, not a curated record.